This 440-nucleotide ribosomal RNA is filed under the name uncultured bacterium. Its description in RNAcentral is "partial 16S ribosomal RNA". It matches the Rfam family "Bacterial small subunit ribosomal RNA", at positions 338 to 795 of the family's 1533-position model. The record is from RNAcentral.
CCUACGGGGGGCAGCAGUGGGGGAUAUUGCACAAUGGGGGGAACCCUGAUGCAGCGACGCCGCGUGGGUGAAGAAGCGCCUCGGCGCUUAAAGCCCUGUCAGUAGGGAAGAAAAUGACGGUACCUGUAGAAGAAGCCCCGGCUAACUACGUGCCAGCAGCCGCGGUAAUACGGAGGGGGCAAGCGUUAUCCGGAUUUACUGGGGGUAAAGGGGGCGCAGACGGCGAUGCAAGCCAGGAGUGAAGGCCCGGGGCCCAACCCCGGGACUGCUCGUGGAACUGCGUGGCUGGAGUGCAGGAGGGGCAGGCGGAAUUCCGGGUGUAGCAGUGAAAUGCGUAGAUAUCAGGAGGAACACCGGUGGCGAAGGCGGGCUGCUGGACUGCAACUGACGUUGAGGCCCGAAAGCGUGGGGAGCAAACAGGAUUAGAUACCCGAGUAGUC